This 253-nucleotide ribosomal RNA is filed under the name uncultured bacterium. Its description in RNAcentral is "partial 16S ribosomal RNA". It matches the Rfam family "Bacterial small subunit ribosomal RNA", at positions 524 to 776 of the family's 1533-position model. The record is from RNAcentral.
UACGUAGGGUGCGAGCGUUAAUCGGAAUUACUGGGCGUAAAGUGUGCGCAGGUGGCCGCGCAAGUCGAGUGUGAAAUCCCCAGGCUUAACCUGGGAACUGCAUCCGAUACUGGAUGGCUUGAAUCCGGGAGAGGGAUGCGGAAUUCCAGGUGUAGCGGUGAAAUGCGUAGAUAUCUGGAGGAACACCGGUGGCGAAGGCGGCAUCCUGGACCGGCAUUGACGCUGAGGAGCGAAAGCCAGGGGAGCAAACGGG